AAAAUAACCGGCUAAUGCAACAAUGUUAGUCAAAAUUUAUGCAAAAUAAACUAAUGAUUCUGUUUAGUUAAUAUAUGUUUUUAGCGUUCGGGACGCUAGGGUCGGAGGUUCAAAUCCUCUCGUCCCGACCA
Molecule: transfer RNA, 131 nt
Filed under: Pseudomonadota bacterium
Lineage: Bacteria; Pseudomonadati; Pseudomonadota
Description: Proteobacteria bacterium (groundwater metagenome) tRNA-Pro
Source: RNAcentral